GAUUCAUGGACUCACUGGCAGCUAGAC
RNAcentral lists this non-coding RNA (27 nucleotides) under Cricetulus griseus (Chinese hamster). Lineage: Eukaryota; Metazoa; Chordata; Mammalia; Rodentia; Cricetidae. The record is from RNAcentral.